RNAcentral lists this ribosomal RNA (482 nucleotides) under uncultured bacterium. Its description in RNAcentral is "partial 16S ribosomal RNA". It matches the Rfam family "Bacterial small subunit ribosomal RNA", at positions 30 to 507 of the family's 1533-position model. The record is from RNAcentral.
AUUGAACGCUGGCGGCAUGCCUUACACAUGCAAGUCGAACGGUAACAGGUCUUCGGAUGCUGACGAGUGGCGAACGGGUGCGUAAUACAUCGGAACGUGCCCGAUCGUGGGGGAUAACGAGGCGAAAGCUUUGCUAAUACCGCAUACGAUCUACGGAUGAAAGCGGGGGAGCUUCGGACCUCGCGCGGACGGAGCGGCCGAUGGCAGAUUAGGUAGUUGGUGGGAUAAAAGCUUACCAAGCCGACGAUCUGUAGCUGGUCUGAGAGGAUGAUCAGCCACACUGGGACUGAGACACGGCCCAGACUCCUACGGGAGGCAGCAGUGGGGAAUUUUGGACAAUGGGCGAAAGCCUGAUCCAGCCAUGCCGCGUGCAGGAUGAAGGCCUUCGGGUUGUAAACUGCUUUUGUACGGAACGAACAGCCUCUUUCUAAUCAAGAGGGGUCAUGACGGUACCGUAAGAAUAAGCACCGGCUAACUACGUG